Molecule: ribosomal RNA, 339 nt
Filed under: Triticum aestivum (bread wheat)
Lineage: Eukaryota; Viridiplantae; Streptophyta; Magnoliopsida; Poales; Poaceae
Description: partial small subunit ribosomal RNA
Source: RNAcentral
AUGAAGAACGAUGUGAUUGCGGCCGUGCGGGGUUUCUUUGAAAACGGGAUCAUGCCAGAAGGGAUCAAUGACACAACCAUUGUACUUAUUCCCAAGGGGAAGAAUCCGCAAUGCCUAAAAGAUUUCCGCCCAAUAAGCCUUUGCAACGUUAUUUACAAGGUCAUUUCCAAGUGCUUAGUAAAUCACUUGCGGCCACUGUUAGAUGGAUUGAUUUCGAAGACCCAAAGCACUUUCAUUCCGGGAAGGCUGAUAACUGACAACGCCAUCAUAGCUUCGAGUGUUUUCACAAGAUCUAGCACAACAAAAGUCCCCGUGACACGCACUGUGCCUACAAAAUAG